Molecule: ribosomal RNA, 5007 nt
Filed under: Triticum aestivum (bread wheat)
Lineage: Eukaryota; Viridiplantae; Streptophyta; Magnoliopsida; Poales; Poaceae
Description: partial small subunit ribosomal RNA
Source: RNAcentral
AUGGACGCGGAGGAGGCGCUGGGCUUCCGGGAGGACGACGCCAUCCGCUUCAUCUUCGGCGAGGACGUGGCCUCCAGGGCGGACGACGACUGCCCCGACUCCGCCGCCAGUGCCUUCGACAGGUCGCUCAUGGAGCUCCGCCUCUUCCAGGAGGUCUUCGCCAGGGCGCCGGGGCACAAGGAGGCCGCCGGGCUCGCGGGGAGGCAUUUCGGGGUGGCGGAGACGUCGCUGCUUCCCGGCGCCCACUUCGCCGCGCAGCGGCCCGCGGAUGCGCCCCGGGCCCAGCCGCGCCUCAACCUCAAGGUCCAGCCGCCUCCGCCGUUCCGCGGCGAGCACAUUGUGUCUGCCCCGGUGCAUGCCGGAGCGGGCCUUAGCCUGGAGGCGCGUCCACAUGCUCACCAGCAGCAGAACAAUGUUACAAUAGAGGGCAAAGUGGAUCUCGGUGUCAGCAAGGGGCAUGCACAUUGUUACGGUGAACAACAUGAGAUUGCUGUCCAGGAGCAUGCACACUGUUACAAUGGCCACCAGGAGGAGCACGCACAUCGUCAUGUCGAGCAGAAUGGGGGGAUCGAUGGGUUGGCUCUCGAGCUGGAUGCCGUGCUGCAGGGCUUCUUGGGGUACUGGCCAGGUGGAGCCACGGCCGGGAGCUGUGACCAGCAGCAAGUGUUUGGUGCAGCUGCUGUCGGUAUCGGUAACACCGUUGACAUGCGCAUGCAAGCGAUGGCUGAAGACAACAACAUUGCUGCUGGGACGUGUGAGGCAGUCGGGUUUGCUGGCAGCAGCAGCACGAGCGGGGUCGAUGAUCCCAUGCCGUCCUACAUGGACGCGCUGGCAGAGUUCUCACAGUUCCAGGCUGACCCUUCUCUUGCUGACCCGUUUUUGUAUCAGUGGCUACAAGAUCAGCAGCCGUUCCCGAGCGAUGCCUCGUGCUUGAGUUAUGAUCAAGGACAAAUCGUUGACAAUGGCCAAGCGCUGUACACAUGUAGCCCGGCUGAUUUAUCUGACAGAGGUGCCAAAGAAUACCCACACUUCAGCAAGCCAGCCUAUGAUGCCGCAGUGCCACCUCGCCUCUCCCAUGAUUAUGUUGGAUCUGGGCAGUUUCUUGAACUUGAGCAACAUCUUGAGAAGGGUACGCCUGAUGCAAAUACUAGUUCGCUAGAUGAUGUUGAUGUUCCUCAGUCCAGCAGUCUACAGUCUAUACCACCUGUUGCUUGUACCAAGAGGACUUUAGGCAGGGAUCUUCCCGAUCAGUUGGAAGCGCAUGCGCAAUGCCUUUUCAAGGAUGCUGGCUGGACCAUCAAGCCACGGAAAAGGAAUGACAGGGCUAAGAUGGCAUCCUAUUUCACAGCACCACACAGGGAAGUGGUCCUCAGCUCACUAACUCAGGCCUGGAAGUUUUGUGGGAACAAAUUAUAUGAAGCUUCUCCCGGUUCACAGAGGGGUAAGCAUCCGAUGGAGUGGUCAGAUGUUGAUAAGUUUUGGAAGGACCUCACUGAUACUAUGGAGUAUAUCCAAAAGGUACUUGUGAACCAACAAAACGCACUCACACUUCUUGAACGGUGGGAGCUUUUGGAUCCUUUCAUUGCCGUCGUGUUCAUCGGUAGGAAAAUUACUGCUCUGCAACAAGGUAGUACUGUCAGAGCUGUUGAUAGUUCAAUCAUUGUUCUCGACGACAACAAGAAUAUGCCCUCAGAGAGUAAAAGGAAACAGAAAGCCAGUGACCCUUUAACCGCCCGCAAGGUUCAGUCUACUCCUGUGAUCAUGGGAUCUGAUUGUGGAGAACGAGUGGUUGAGAGCUGCAGCAGGAGCCAGGCUGUACCAAGCUGUCAUGUUUUGGAAGGUGGCCAGAACAGGGAUAUUAACCUGAAAAAUGGCUACACACAAGGCCAGAACAGGGCAAUUGACCGAAAUGAGAAUCACAUUGAUCAAAGUACUGAAACCCAGCAAUUUUACUCAGGAGCAGCGCUCAUCAAUAAUUCGGUGAAAAAAGCAAGGAAGAAGCCCAAAAUGAUACCGGAUGUUGAUGCAAAUGGAUUAGAUGGGUUGUAUGCUCAAAUAUUUAUGCAGCACACUAUGGGGAAUGUAUUUAACCAAGAGAGCAACGUGGCGAUGCUUGACUUUUCUAAUCCAGGAAACAUUAACGUCUCUGGAAAACAUGGUAUUUAUUCGUCUGUUGGCACAGUGAAGAAGGAUUUGAAAGCUGAAUCCAGACCGGCAAAGCUAAAUCGGAACAGCCAAACCGACAAACCUGGCAUGCUGUUGCCUCCAGAGAGCAAGCAAAUGAGCAUGCUAAUGCGUGAGGGUACUGUUAAAGAACCUUUGGAGCAUACAACCUCAGGACCUGAUUCUGAUGCAAGGGAGUCAGGUGCCAAGGAAACCGCCCCUAUAGAAUGGGUCCAGAAGAAGUUACCUUCAGAGAGCAACCAAAUGAUUAUGUUAAGAGGUGAGGGUACUGUUAAAGACCCUACAGAGCAUACAAUCUCUGAACCUUAUUCUAAUGCAAGGGAGUCAGGUGCCAAUGAGAUCGCCCCUGUAGAAAUGGUCCAGAAGAAGUUGCCUUCAGGGAGCAACCAGAUGAGUAUGUUAAGAGGUGAGGGUAUUGUUAAAGAACCUAUGGUUCAUAUAAUCUCUGAACCUGAUUCUAGUGCAAGGGAGUCAGGUGCCAAUGAAACUGUACCUACAGAAAUGGUCCAGAAGUUGCCUUCAGAGAGCAACCAGAUGAGUAUGUUAAGAGGUGAGGGUACUGUUAAAGAACCUACGGCGCAUACAAUCUCUGAACCUGCUUCUAGUGCAAGGAAGUCAGGUGCCAAGGAAACUGUUCCUAUAGAAAUGGUCCAGAAGAAGUUGCCUUCAGAGAGCAAGCAGAGUAUGUUAAGAGGUGAGGGUACUGCUAUGGAACAUAAACGACUUAAAAGCGCUGAACCUGAUUCGAAUGCAAGGGAGUCAGGUGCCAAUGAGAUCGCCCCUGUAGAAGUGGUCUACCAGAAGUUGCCUUCAGGGAGCAAGAAGAGCAUGUUAAGAGGUGAGGGUACUGUUAAAGAACCUACAGAGCAUACAAUCUCAAAAUCUGAUUUUAAUGCAAGGGAGUUGAGUGCCAAUGGGAUUGUCCCUUCAGAAAUGGUCCACAAGAAGUUGCCGUCAUUGAAGGAAUCAUCUCCUAGAACUCCCCCCAAGGACCCCCCUAAGGUUUCAGUCGACAAUGCUGUUCCUGUUGAGUUAUCCCUUGAGUCUAAUGCUGCUCCCCUGAAAACUGAUUUAUCUCGUGACUCACAAAUCUGCAAGACGAUCGCUGCUAAAAGGAAACCUCAAGGUUGUGAUAAACAUAUCAAGAAAAGACCUCUUGAGUUGCGUAUCCACGACGAUGACCUUUUGAUCACAGCUAUUGUAAAAAACAGGGACGUUGACUCCUACAACAAAUUUGCUGCAAGCUCAGAUUUUUCGGUUGCAAAGUACAAAAAGCUUAAAGGCCAAAAGAGAGCUACCAAACUGCUUGGAAAAGGGGGGACAAACCUAUUGGGUGGGAAGAGAAUAAGUUUGGCACGGAAAACUGUGCUCUGCUGGUUGAUUGCAACUGGCUUUCUGACCGUAAAAGAUGUUAUUCAGUAUCGAAAUCUGAAGAGCAAUGAAGUUGUUAAGGAUGGGCAGGUCACCUGGGAAGGCAUUCUUUGCAAAUGUUGCGCAAAAACCUUAUCUGUAUCAGACUUUAAGGCUCAUGCUGGUUGCUGUCUGCCCAAGUCCUCAUUAGGCCUCUUUCUGCAGUCUGGCAAGUCGUAUACUCUAUGCCAGUUGGAGGCUUGGUCUGCCGAAUUGAUGAGCAGGAGAAGUGAUGCAUGUGGUAGGAAAGUCGAGGCGAUGGAUGAAAAUGACGAUACAUGUGGUUUCUGUGGAGAUGGCGGUGAAUUACUUUGCUGUGACAAUUGCCCAUCAACAUAUCAUGAAGCUUGCUUGUCUGCCCAGGAGCUUCCAGAAGGCAGUUGGUACUGCCAUAAUUGCUCAUGCCGGAAAUGUGGGACUCCAGUUAGUGAAAAUGAGGUUCCGUCAUCCUCAGAUAUCUUGAAAUGUCUGCAGUGUGGAGAUGCAUACCAUGGCACGUGCAUUAAUCAUGAGAUGCUGCCCUGUGAUGAUAAAAGAUCUAACACAUGGUUUUGUGGGAGAUACUGUAAGGAGAUAUUCCUUGGACUACAUAGUCAUGUUGGGAUAGAGAAUAUUAUUGACAAUGGGCUUUCAUGGACCAUAUUGAAGUGCUGCAGUGAUGGUCGGAGGCUACAUUCUGCCCGGAAGAUAGCCCAUAUGACAGAAUGUAAUACAAAAUUGGCAGUGGCUCUUACUUUACUGGAGGAAUGUUUCAUUCGUAUGGUUGAUCCUCGAACUGGUGUAGACAUGAUACCACAUGUGUUGUACAAUAAGGGAUCAAACUUCGCGCGCUUAGAUUAUCAGGGAUUCUACACUGUAAUCCUGGAGAAGGGUGAUGAGAUUCUAUGUGUGGCAUCUAUCAGGUUACAUGGGACCAAAGCAGCCGAGCUGCCUUUCAUUGCUACUUGUGUGGAUUAUCGCCGUAAAGGGAUGUGCCGAAGGCUGCUGGAUAUCAUUGAAAAGAUGCUGAGAUCGUUCCACGUUGAGAUGUUGGUCCUUUCUGCCAUCCCAGAGUUGGUUAAUACAUGGGUCUCGGGAUUUGGUUUCAAACCUAUCAAGGAUGAUGAGAGGAAACAACUUCGUAACGUUAAUUUGAUGUUAUUUCCUGGGACAUCCCUGCUAACCAAAAGAUUGGAUGGAAAUAUAACUACAAAACCAGAAAAGGAAGAAGGCACACAUAAUGUUUCUGGAUUAACUAACGGGAAAUGUUUGCCUGACGGGAAAGCAAAUGAGCAUCUUGAACUCCGUGACCUUGAACUGCCAGAGGAGUUGAAUAAUGAGGUUGCAAUGAAUGGUUCUUUGAGAACACUAAAACGUGAAUUUAGUCCCGCAGCAUGGUUCAAUUCCACUAAGCUAGCUGUUGGUGAAGUGUGA